AUUGAACGCUGGCGGCAUGCCUUACACAUGCAAGUCGAACGGCAGCACGGGUGCUUGCACCUGGUGGCGAGUGGCGAACGGGUGAGUAAUACAUCGGAACGUACCUUAUCGUGGGGGAUAACGCAGCGAAAGUUGCGCUAAUACCGCAUACGCCCUGAGGGGGAAAGCGGGGGACCGUAAGGCCUCGCGCGAUUAGAGCAGCCGAUGUCUGAUUAGCUUGUCGGUGAGGUAAAAGCUCACCAAGGCGAUGAUCAGUAGCUGGUCUGAGAGGACGAUCAGCCACACUGGGACUGAGACACGGCCCAGACUCCUACGGGAGGCAGCAGUGGGGAAUUUUGGACAAUGGGGGCAACCCUGAUCCAGCAAUGCCGCGUGAGUGAAGAAGGCCUUCGGGUUGUAAAGCUCUUUUGUCAGGGAAGAAACAGCAGCUCUAACACAGUCUGCGAAUGACGGUACCUGAAGAAUAAGCACCGGCUAACUACGUGCCAGCAGCCGCCGUAA
Molecule: ribosomal RNA, 501 nt
Filed under: uncultured bacterium
Lineage: Bacteria
Description: partial 16S ribosomal RNA
Rfam family: Bacterial small subunit ribosomal RNA
Source: RNAcentral